UUGUCCCAGAGAUUCAGUGAAUUGCUGCAUGCUGCUCAUGUAUAGGUCGAUGUAAUCUUGUUGCGCCACCUCUUCUGGUUUUAUGUUCACGCUGAUAAGUGGCUUGGAAAAGUCGAAUACAGGCAAGGUAAAGUCGAAUACAGGUGCUUUUCCGACAUCCUCUGUCUUCUUCUCACUGAGUGAAACCACAUCCUGAUUCACAAAGUCCGAAGUUUUUGCAACAUCCUCAGUCUUCUCACCGGUUGAUACCACGUCCUUGUUCACAGAUU
RNAcentral lists this long non-coding RNA (269 nucleotides) under Daucus carota (carrot). RNAcentral's name for it is "long non-coding RNA (DCAR_LNC003232)". Lineage: Eukaryota; Viridiplantae; Streptophyta; Magnoliopsida; Apiales; Apiaceae. The record is from RNAcentral.